ACAGGAUACAAAUGGGCAAAUGGCUUGACUUUGACACUACAGCUGCUCUCUACGCGUUUUCCAAAUUGCUUAUGGACCAAAAGAAGAAAAUGCGUACAGUUUUUCUUUUGUGUCUUGGUACAUAACAAUGCUUAGAUUGGUUUGGAGGAUAGGGUUCAAGGUAUAUGUCUUCCUUGAAGUCAUACUAUCUUCUUUUUCUUGAAUAAUCCAAUUGUUU
This 217-nucleotide long non-coding RNA is filed under the name Theobroma cacao (cacao). RNAcentral describes it as "long non-coding RNA (TCAC_LNC002013)". The record is from RNAcentral. Lineage: Eukaryota; Viridiplantae; Streptophyta; Magnoliopsida; Malvales; Malvaceae.